CCUACGGGCGGCUGCAGUGGGGAAUAUUGGACAAUGGGGGGAACCCUGAUCCAGCCAUGCCGCGUGUGUGAAGAAGGCCCUCGGGUUGUAAAGCACUUUCAGUGAGGAAGAACGCCUGGUGGUUAAUACCCAUCAGGAAAGACAUCACUCACAGAAGAAGCACCGGCUAACUCCGUGCCAGCAGCCGCGGUAAUACGGAGGGUGCGAGCGUUAAUCGGAAUUACUGGGCGUAAAGCGCGCGUAGGUGGCUUGAUAAGCCGGUUGUGAAAGCCCCGGGCUCAACCUGGGAACGGCAUCCGGAACUGUCAAGCUAGAGUGCAGGAGAGGAAGGUAGAAUUCCCGGUGUAGCGGUGAAAUGCGUAGAGAUCGGGAGGAAUACCAGUGGCGAAGGCGGCCUUCUGGACUGACACUGACACUGAGGUGCGAAAGCGUGGGUAGCAAACAGGAUUAGAUACCCGGGUAGUC
Molecule: ribosomal RNA, 465 nt
Filed under: Vreelandella stevensii
Lineage: Bacteria; Pseudomonadati; Pseudomonadota; Gammaproteobacteria; Oceanospirillales; Halomonadaceae
Description: partial 16S ribosomal RNA
Rfam family: Bacterial small subunit ribosomal RNA
Source: RNAcentral